AUGAAGGAAGGCACAUCAACAAUGGUACAGGUAAAUGACAUGGACCCAAAUGUGUUCAAGACGAUGCUUGAUUUCAUCUACGGUGACUCGCUGCUAGUGCCGGAGGCCGGUGAGAAUAGUUGGGUCCUGCUACAGCACCUGCUCGUCGCAGCGGACAGGUAUGACCUCCAAAGAUUGAAGCACAUGUGUGAGAAGAAACUAUGCGAGCACAUCAGUGUGAGCACUGCGACGACCGUCCUGGCCCUGGCUGAUGAGCAAGGCUGUGGAGAGCUGAAGAAAGCGUGUUACGGUUUCCUCCGCUGUCCGGUAAAUCUGAGGGCAGUCGUGGAUACCGAAGGUUUUGAUCAUAUACAGGGGAGCUGCCCUCAUCUUAUAAAGGACAUUAUCUUUGGCGUGCUGCCCUCGUAG
This 408-nucleotide ribosomal RNA is filed under the name Triticum aestivum (bread wheat). Its description in RNAcentral is "partial small subunit ribosomal RNA". The record is from RNAcentral. Lineage: Eukaryota; Viridiplantae; Streptophyta; Magnoliopsida; Poales; Poaceae.